Molecule: long non-coding RNA, 3199 nt
Organism: Brassica rapa (field mustard)
Lineage: Eukaryota; Viridiplantae; Streptophyta; Magnoliopsida; Brassicales; Brassicaceae
Source: RefSeq, a predicted model, not a curated record
AGGUGACCAGAAAAUCGAUGGUGAUCAUCAUCUCGUUGUUUAAUUUUAGCGUGGUUUCUCACAAAUCAGUUUGUGGGAAGGAAAGCCUUAUAAAACCUUAUAAAUAUUUAUCUAUGAUAUUUCUGGGAAGUUUCUCAAAAAGAUAGUUUGACUUUGUUCUUGUCUACCUAUUUGCUUGUUUAAAUAACUCGGAAGAUUUUGUUUUCACUAAGUAGUUGAUCAUCGUCUAUGACACAUGAUGAUAACCAAUUUUGCUCCUCGUCAUAUUGGUUGUUUUUCAGAGUUCUGGCUUGAACUCAAAGUGUUUCUUUACAAUGAUUUUCUUUUUGUUUGACUCUGUUUUUCCGUAGUAACGUUUUCAGCGUUGAUUCCUCUGAGUGAGUUCUCUGAAGCUUCCGUGAUGAAGAAGUAUGGUUUGAAGCCAGAUGCUGAAACCCUUGACAUUGCCAACACCACCGCUAGGCAAAAAUCGAUUACAGACUUACAGUAGUGAUGAAGAUAUAUUGGGGAGAUCCUCGUGAGAAGAUAUGUGAAGCUGUUGAUCAUAUCCCUCUCUCAAGCCUUGGUGGCCUUGAGAGGAUGAUAAUGGGAAGUGUUAGCAACCAUGUUGUCAACAACGUUGCAUGCCCUGUCACCGUCGUGAAGUCUCACCACUGAGCUUUGCCUUCAUCUUCUUCACAUCAUCUGCUCCGAUAACCUUAAUCAGAAUGACCUGUGGUGUAUUGUGUUUGUUGGUUGUGUCUGAAUUUGUAAUUUUCAAACUCUGGUGUGAUUUGUCAAGCGGAAGGACCGAGAAAAUACAAGUAACCAACAAACACAUACGCAUUAAGGAAGAAACUGACUCCAAUGAUUCAGAGUUUUGGAUGCUUAAGUCAAGUUCUGGUUCAGAGUUAGAGUCAUAGCAGGAGAGUGAUGAAGAAAACUGCAAAGGUUCUCAUUGUGAUGCCAAAGAAUAUGAGGAGCUCUCAGAAAGAACAAAGAGGAUGUCAAUAGAGAUUGGACCAAGUAUGAUCAUUACGGCAGCGCCACUAUGAUCCUGAGGCUCAAGGCUACUAUUCAGUCUUUGGAAGGGCGGAUGAGUUCUGUUACUGAGAAAAGUGCUAAGUAUGCUCAGAUUGCUGCUGAGGAAGUGCCCAAGAGUCUUUACUGCCUUGGUGUUCGUCUCACUACUGAGUGAUUUUAGAACUCUGAGUUACAGGGGAAGCUUAAGCUCUUUGUCCACUCUUAUGAUCAGUGGAGAGCUUAAGAUGUAUUCUCACCUCAAGCAGUUUACUUUCCUUGAUCUCAAGUUGGCUACUAGAAAUUUCAGACCCGAAAGUCUUCUCGGAGAAAGUGGCUUUGGUUGCGUCUUUAAAGGAUGGAUGGAGGAGAACGAAACUGCUCCUGUUAAGCCUGGCACUGGCCUUACUGUCGCUGUCAAAACCUUGAAUCUCGAUGGUCUUCAGGGUCAUAAAGAGUGGCUUGUAUGAUCCUUAAAAACACUUCUAAAUUGAUUUAUAAACUCUUAUAAAUUGUGUAAUGAAGAUUAUUAAAUUUUUACAAUCUUUUGAAUAAACCCUUAUAAAUAGAUUUAUAUUUCAUAUAUAUUUGAUCAACUCUUAUAAAUAUGUCAUAAACCCAUCGACACAAACAAAAACGUUCUUAUAAACCCUUAUAAGAUGAUAUAAAUCAUUGCAAAAUGAUUUAUGAAUCCUAUAAUUACACAUAUAAUAAUGAUGCUUUUGGUUAGAAAAUGAUUUUGUAAAUAAUUAUAAAUAAUUUUCAAAAAUUUAUAGGAAAAUUAUAAACAUUAUAAAUACUUUCAUAAAGAUUUACUUAUAAUCUUUGUAAGAAUUUAUAAAUGAUCUAUAAACUCUUCUAACUGAUUUAUAAAUUGAUUUAUAAACUCUUAUAAAUUGUGUUAUCAAGAUUAUUAAAUUAUUAUAAUCUUUGGAAUAAGCCCUUAUAAAUAGAUUUAUAAACUCUUAUAAAUAGAUUUCUAAAACUUGUAAAUUAAUUUAUAAACACUUAUAAAUAAAUGUAUAAACUCUUAUAAAUAGCUUAUAAGUUCUUGUAAAUAGUUUUAUAAACCCUUUUAAAUAGUUUUAUAAACCUUUAUAAAUAGUUAUAUAAAUAUAUAUAUAUAUGUGUUUUAUAAGCUUUAUAGAUGGUUGAUACAAGGUUUUAUAAGCUCUUAUAAAAUUUAUAAAUGGUUCAUAAAUGAUUAUUCCCUUUAAUUCCAUAUUCCUCAUUUAGACCCAUAAUUUAUAUAUAUAUUCUUAUAGAUGUUUUAUUAACUCUUAUAAGCAAGUUUAUAAUUUUGCAAAAAAAUUUCACAAACCCUUAUAAAUGAUUUAUAAGCCUUUAUAAAAUGUUUUAAGAGCCUUCAUAUAUGAAUUACCUUUUGAAAUUCUUCAAAUCCUUGUAACUGAAUUUAUAAACGCUUAUAAAUAAUUUUAAAUAUUCUUUUUUUCUUUCAAUAAUUUUAAAUAUUCUUAUAAAUUAUUUAUAGACCCUUAUAAUUUUUUUUUAUAUAUUCUCAUAAAUGAAUUAUAACCCCUUAAAACUAGUUAAUAAUUUAGACAAAAGUUUUCUACAAAUCCUUAUAAAUAUUUUUAUAUAUUCUUAUAACUGAUUUAUAAACCUUUAUAAAUAGUUUAUAUAUAUAUAUAUAUUCUUAGAAAUGAUUUAUAAACCCUUAUAAAUAUUUUAUAAGUAUUUAUAAGGAUUUAUUAAUCUUCAUAAAUGAUUUACAAACAUUUAUAAAUUAUUUAUAUAAUCCUUAUAAAGCCUUGUAGAAAACUAAGUUCAAGUUUUUUUAUACAUAUCCUUAUAGACUGUUUUUAUAAACUCUUAUAAAUGAAUUAUACUUUAUUUCAGAGAAAACUAAACAACAAACUGAACCAGACAACAACUGUUGAAGGUUGCUACAAAGUCUUGGAGGGUCCAAUGUUUUCACGCUUAGCCACCAUGUCAUACCUAGCAAUGGGGCACACAUAGAUACCAACCGAUGAAAGAUUAUUCUUACUGUAAGACCCGAAGAAACCACCAAACUCGCGUCUAUCACGUAUUCAUGGAUCAAUAUCUAUCUUGAAACCAAUCGCAGAGUUAUCAUUCACACUUCAGUCGGUCUGUGCUCCCCACAGUUAGUGUGAAAUGUCAAACUUUUUAUUCCAUCACGCAUUCCAUAUCCAUGUACUCCACUCAGUCCAGUCACAUA